RNAcentral lists this ribosomal RNA (599 nucleotides) under uncultured archaeon. Its description in RNAcentral is "bacterial SSU rRNA". It matches the Rfam family "Archaeal small subunit ribosomal RNA", at positions 858 to 1458 of the family's 1478-position model. The record is from RNAcentral.
AAGGAAUUGGCGGGGGAGCACCACAACGGGUGGAGCUUGCGGUUUAAUUGGAUUCAACGCCGGAAAUCUUACCGGGACCGACAGCAAUAUGAAGGCCAGGCUGAAGACUUUGCCGGAUUAGCUGAGAGGUGGUGCAUGGCCGUCGUCAGUCCGUACUGUGAAGCAUCCUGUUAAGUCAGGCAACGAGCGAGACCCACGCCCACAGUUGCCAGCGAGCCCUUCGGGGUGGCGGGUACUCUGUGGGGACCGCCGCUGCUAAAGCGGAGGAAGGAAUGGGCAACGGUAGGUCAGUAUGCCCCGAAUCUCCCGGGCUACACGCGGGCUACAAUGGUCGGUACAAUGGGUAUCUACCCCGAGAGGGGAUGGAAAUCUCCUAAAACCGGUCGUAGUUCGGAUUGAGGGCUGCAACUCGCCUUCAUGAAGCUGGAAUCCGUAGUAAUCGCGUUUCAACAGAACGCGGUGAAUACGUCCCUGCUCCUUGCACACACCGCCCGUCAAACCACCCGAGUAGGGUCUGGAUAAGGGUGCGCCAUGUUGACGCAUUCGAAUCUGGGCUUUGCAAGGGGGGUUAAGUCGUAACAAGGUAACCAAGGGCGAAU